AUUGAACGCUGGCGGCAGGCCUAACACAUGCAAGUCGAACGGUAACAGGAAGAUGCUUGCUUCUUUGCUGACGAGUGGCGGCCGGGUGAGUAAUGUCUGGGAAACUGCCUGAUGGAGGGGGAUAACUACUGGAAACGGUAGCUAAUACCGCAUAACGUCGCAAGACCAAAGGGGGGGACCUUCGGGCCUCUUGCCAUCGGAUGUGCCCAGAUGGGAUUAGCUAGUAGGUGGGGUAACGGCUCACCUAGGCGACGAUCCCUAGCUGGUCUGAGAGGAUGACCAGCCACACUGGAACUGAGACACGGUCCAGACUCCUACGGGAGGCAGCAGUGGGGAAUAUUGCACAAUGGGCGCAAGCCUGAUGCAGCCAUGCCGCGUGUAUGAAGAAGGCCUUCGGGUUGUAAAGUACUUUCAGCGGGGAGGAAGGGAGUAAAGUUAAUACCUUUACUCAUUGACGUUACCCGCAGAAGAAGCACCGGCUAACUCCGUG
This 490-nucleotide ribosomal RNA is filed under the name uncultured bacterium. RNAcentral's name for it is "partial 16S ribosomal RNA". It matches the Rfam family "Bacterial small subunit ribosomal RNA", at positions 30 to 507 of the family's 1533-position model. The record is from RNAcentral.